GAUGAACGCUGGCGGCGUGCCUAAUACAUGCAAGUCGAGCGAACUGAUUAGAAGCUUGCUUCUAUGACGUUAGCGGCGGACGGGUGAGUAACACGUGGGCAACCUGCCUGUAAGACUGGGAUAACUUCGGGAAACCGAAGCUAAUACCGGAUAGGAUCUUCUCCUUCAUGGGAGAUGAUUGAAAGAUGGUUUCGGCUAUCACUUACAGAUGGGCCCGCGGUGCAUUAGCUAGUUGGUGAGGUAACGGCUCACCAAGGCAACGAUGCAUAGCCGACCUGAGAGGGUGAUCGGCCACACUGGGACUGAGACACGGCCCAGACUCCUACGGGAGGCAGCAGUAGGGAAUCUUCCGCAAUGGACGAAAGUCUGACGGAGCAACGCCGCGUGAGUGAUGAAGGCUUUCGGGUCGUAAAACUCUGUUGUUAGGGAAGAACAAGUACGAGAGUAACUGCUCGUACCUUGACGGACCUAA
This 472-nucleotide ribosomal RNA is filed under the name Bacillus sp. ITRH39. RNAcentral's name for it is "bacterial SSU rRNA". It matches the Rfam family "Bacterial small subunit ribosomal RNA", at positions 28 to 482 of the family's 1533-position model. The record is from RNAcentral. Lineage: Bacteria; Bacillati; Bacillota; Bacilli; Caryophanales; Bacillaceae.